Molecule: ribosomal RNA, 537 nt
Filed under: Triticum aestivum (bread wheat)
Lineage: Eukaryota; Viridiplantae; Streptophyta; Magnoliopsida; Poales; Poaceae
Description: partial small subunit ribosomal RNA
Source: RNAcentral
AUGCACUGGUUCGCAUGGUGGAAGAUGUGCGUGCCAAAGAGCAAUGGAGGUAUGGGUUUCAGAGAUGUUCACUGUUUUAACUUGGUCCUCCUAGCUAAACAGUACCGGAGAUUGUUAGCAGAACUAGACUCCUUGUGUGCCAGAGUAUUGAGGGCAAAAUAUUUCCCGGACGAAGACCUACUGAAUUGCCCCCUCAAGAAAGGGAGUUCUUACACUUGGCAGAGCUUGUGGAGUGGUGUUCAGACCUUCAAAAAAGGAUACAUAUGGAGAGUGGGAGAUGGCACACAAAUAAACAUAUGGGAUGAUCCUUGGGUGGCUAGCAGCCCAAACAGGAAGGUAAUGACUCCACGAGGUAAUAUCAUUCUCACUAAAGUUUCUGAGUUGAUUGACAUGGAGAAUCGGUGCUGGGAUGAAGAACUUAUCAGACAUAUCUUUUGGCCCAUUGACGCAAAUCGUAUUCUGAAUAUACCCCUUGCAACGGGUAUGAUAGAGGAUUUUGUUUCAUGGCACUAUAAUAAAACUGGAAUUUUUUCGGUC